AAAAAAAAGCUAGCGGUAAUUGAACAACAAAUGAUGAGCAUUGCUGAUGGUGUUUGUUGUUCGAAUUGCGUGGUGGGCUGGAUCAACCGCUCCGGAACAAACUCUUCAGAUCAUUCACUCCAGAUCAAUCGCUCUGGAAUGAAUGCUCGGGAUCAUUGGCUCCAGAACAAUUGCCUCGGGAACAAGCGCUCCGGAUCAAAUGCCCCAAUCAAUCGGCAAAUUGAAGCCAUGAGCAUUUUUUUUCUUUUUCUUUUUGAAUCUAUCCCAUUUGUUGUUGGGCUUCCACUGUGGCCUGGACCGAUUGAAUCAAAUGCUUCAGAAUACAAUCCUCAAAAUCGUAUGCUUCCCAAUGGUUCCGGAUCACUCGCUCCCAAACA
Molecule: long non-coding RNA, 377 nt
Organism: Hippocampus comes (tiger tail seahorse)
Lineage: Eukaryota; Metazoa; Chordata; Actinopteri; Syngnathiformes; Syngnathidae
Exons: 2
Source: RefSeq, a predicted model, not a curated record